RNAcentral lists this ribosomal RNA (443 nucleotides) under uncultured bacterium. RNAcentral's name for it is "partial 16S ribosomal RNA". It matches the Rfam family "Bacterial small subunit ribosomal RNA", at positions 338 to 795 of the family's 1533-position model. The record is from RNAcentral.
CCUACGGGAGGCAGCAGUGGGGAAUAUUGGGCAAUGGGCGCAAGCCUGACCCAGCAACGCCGCGUGAAGGAAGAAGGCUUUCGGGUUGGAAACUUCUUUUCUCAGGGACAAAGCACGUGACGGUACCUGAGGAAUAAGCCACGGCUAACUACGUGCCAGCAGCCGCGGUAAUACGUAGGUGGCAAGCGUUAUCCGGAUUUACUGGGUGUAAAGGGCGUGUAGGCGGGUAGGCAAGUCAGAUGUGAAAACCACGGGCUCAACCUGUGGCCUGCAUUUUAAACUGUGUUUCUUGAGUACUGGGGAGGCAGACGGAAUUCGUGGUGUAGCGGUGAAAUGCGUAGAUAUUAGGAGGAACACCAGUGGCGAAGGCGGUUUGCUGGACAGCAACUGACGUUGAGGCGCGAAAGUGUGGGGAGCAAACAGGAUUAGAUACCCGUGUAGUC